CCCCUGAUCGGCAGCAUACCAUGCAGUCGAACGGGGAUAGCAAUAUGUCAGUGGCAGACGGGUGAGUAACGCGUGGGAACAUACCUCUUGGUUCGGAACAACACAGGGAAACUUGUGCUAAUACCGGAUAAGCCCUUACGGGGAAAGAUUUAUCGCCGAGAGAUUGGCCCGCGUCUGAUUAGCUAGUUGGUGUGGUAAAGGCGCACCAAGGCGACGAUCAGUAGCUGGUCUGAGAGGAUGAUCAGCCACAUUGGGACUGAGACACGGCCCAAACUCCUACGGGAGGCAGCAGUGGGGAAUAUUGGACAAUGGGCGCAAGCCUGAUCCAGCCAUGCCGCGUGAGUGAUGAAGGCCUUAGGGUUGUAAAGCUCUUUUGUACGGGAAGAUAAUGACGGUACCGUAAGAAUAAGCCCCGGCUAACUUCGUGCCAGCAGCCGCGGUAAUACGAAGGGGGCUAGCGUUGCUCGGAAUCACUGGGCGUAAAGGGUGCGUAGGCGGGUUUUUAAGUCAGAGGUGAAAUCCUGGAGCUCAACUCCAGAACUGCCUUUGAUACUGAAAGUCUUCAGUAUGGGAGAGGUGAGUGGAACUGCGAGUGUAGAGGUGAAAUUCGUAGAUAUUCGCAAGAACACCAGUGGCGAAGGCGGCUCACUGGCCCAUUACUGACGCUGAGGCACGAAAGCGUGGGGAGCAAACAGGAUUAGAUACCCUGGUAGUCCACGCCGUANACGAUGAAUGCCAGCCGUUAGUGGGUUUACUCACUAGUGGCGCAGCUAACGCUUUAAGCAUUCCGCCUGGGGAGUACGAUCGCAAGAUUAAAACUCCAAGGAAUUGACCGGGGCCCGCACA
Molecule: ribosomal RNA, 846 nt
Filed under: uncultured Alphaproteobacteria bacterium
Lineage: Bacteria; Pseudomonadati; Pseudomonadota; Alphaproteobacteria
Description: bacterial SSU rRNA
Rfam family: Bacterial small subunit ribosomal RNA
Source: RNAcentral